GCCGGGAUGGCGGAACUGGUAGACGCGCACGUUUCAGGGGCGUGUGGGAGUAAUCCCAUGAGGGUUCGAAACCCUCUCCCGGCA
Molecule: transfer RNA, 84 nt
Filed under: Candidatus Omnitrophota bacterium
Lineage: Bacteria; Pseudomonadati; Candidatus Omnitrophota
Also listed under: 1 other name
Description: tRNA-Leu
Rfam family: tRNA
About the family: Transfer RNA (tRNA) molecules are approximately 80 nucleotides in length.
Source: RNAcentral